GCCUAAAGCGUCCGUAGCCGGCUAUGUUAGUUUUCGGUUAAAUCCAUGUGCUUAACACAUGGGCUGUCGAAAAUACUGCAUAGCUAGGGAGUGGGAGAGGUAGACGGUACUCUGUAGGAAGGGGUAAAAUCCUUUGAUCUAUAGAUGACCACCAGUGGCGAAGGCGGUCUACCAGAACACGUCCGACGGUGAGGGAUGAAAGCUGGGGGAGCAAACCGGAUUAGAUACCCGGGUAGUCCCAGCUGUAAACUAUGCAAACUCAGUGAUGCAUUGGCUUGUGGCCAGUGCAGUGCCGCAGAGAAGUCGUUAAGUUUGCCGCCUGGGAAGUACGUACGCAAGUAUGAAACUUAAAGGAAUUGGCGGGGGAGCACCACAAGGGGUGAAGCCUGCGGUUCAAUUGGAGUCAACGCCAGAAAUCUUACCCGGAGAGACAGCAGGAUGAAGGUCAAGCUGAAGACUUUACCAGACAAGCUGAGAAGUGGUGCAUGGCCGUCACCAGCUCGUGCCGUGAGGUGUCCUGUUAAGUCAGGUAACGAGCGAGAUCCUUGCUUCUAGUUGCCACCAUUACUCUCAGGAGUAGUGGGGCGAAUUAGCGGGACUGCCGCAGUUAAUGCGGAGGAAGGAGAGGGCCACGGCAGGUCAGUAUGCCCCGAA
This 654-nucleotide ribosomal RNA is filed under the name uncultured archaeon. RNAcentral describes it as "bacterial SSU rRNA". It matches the Rfam family "Archaeal small subunit ribosomal RNA", at positions 508 to 1160 of the family's 1478-position model. The record is from RNAcentral.